This 255-nucleotide ribosomal RNA is filed under the name uncultured bacterium. Its description in RNAcentral is "partial 16S ribosomal RNA". It matches the Rfam family "Bacterial small subunit ribosomal RNA", at positions 524 to 776 of the family's 1533-position model. The record is from RNAcentral.
GACGGAGGAUGCAAGCGUUAUCCGGAAUGAUUGGGCGUAAAGCGUCCGCAGGUGGCACUUCAAGUCUGCUGUCAAAGACCGGGGCUUAACCCCAGAAAGGCAGUGGAAACUGAAGUGCUAGAGUGCAGUAGGGGUAGAGGGAAUUCCCGGUGUAGCGGUGAAAUGCGUAGAGAUCGGGAAGAACAUCGGUGGCGAAAGCGCUGCUGCGUGGACUGCAACUGACACUCAGGGACGAAAGCUAGGGGAGCGAAUGGG